Non-coding RNA from Merluccius polli (Benguela hake), 73 nucleotides. Lineage: Eukaryota; Metazoa; Chordata; Actinopteri; Gadiformes; Merlucciidae. The record is from the annotation of a GenBank genome assembly.
GCCAGGAUAGUCUAGUGGUUAGGGUUUUUGACUCCUAGUCAAAAGGUUCUGGGUUCGAUCCCCAAUGUCUGCA